GCCAAAAUAGCUCAGUUGGGAGUGCGUCAGACUGAAGAUCUGAAGGUCCCUGGUUCAAUCCCGGGUUUCGGCA
This is a non-coding RNA of Oreochromis niloticus (Nile tilapia), 73 nucleotides long. The record is from Rfam. Lineage: Eukaryota; Metazoa; Chordata; Actinopteri; Cichliformes; Cichlidae.